UCAAACGUGUCACUUGUAGCAAUUCAUUUCCAAAAGCAGUUUACAAAAACAACACCAAAAAGUACAUAUUUUUCGUUAACAAGUAAAAAAAGAAAAGAAAUUGUAUUAAUAAACACUUUCACCGCCAAUACUUGAAAUUCAUAGCCAGGUGCAACUGUGGCGUGGCCAGUUCGGGCGAAAAUUGUUUACAAAUAGUUUAACAAAAAACCAAAACAAAAACAAAACAAAAAUAAAGAUGGUAAGUAUGCAUGUGCGGGAUGUUUGCAAGAAGACCUUUUGGCGUCUCUCGCCAUUUAUAUGCCAAAAAGCCAGCGGCCAUAAAUUCAAGCUUGGGGCGUGCUCCAUGUCCAUGCCAUUGACAUUGCCAUUGCAUUGCUGAUACGAACACCAUACCCACACCCAAGGAGAGGCUUAGCUGGUCGUACGUGCUGCACUUUGAAUGCUGAAACCAGGUCGCAGUCAAAGAAGAGACUUUCAUUAGAUGGCCUUUUUGGAGCGACAUUGGAUAUCUCUCUGUAUGGACAAGGGGGCGUACAAUGAAUCAGAGAAAGAAAAAGCUUGGUCUACAACAAACGACGAUAAGUAAGGAAGUUCCACUGACCAGGUAAGAUGAAAAACUUCAUACAGAUGCAGCCCGGCCUCUACGCCUCAGUGCCUCAAGUGAAAUUUUGUGUUCUGUACCUGUGGCGUCUCUGAUCUGCCUGCCUGCCAGUCUGUCGAUGUGGAUGUGGAUGUGCCUGUGAUUUUGUGUGUCGCACAUGCAAUUGAUAUCGCUGGCCUCGUUCGCCUUAGUUGCUUGAUUCAUCGUCGGAGAGUUUGCUGUCCACUGUCCGCUCAUUAGCAAUUGGAGCACAAAUAAUUAAUAAGCGAACAGGAUCGACAGCUUUCUAUGGUCAGCGUUUAGAAAUCGGAAACUGUGGCUAAAGAGCGCAAAAAGAAAGUAAGCCUAGCUAACUAGCUAACUGGCUAACUAAAAGGCAAUUAAUAACAGCAGCCAACAACAGUCAACAGCAACAAGUUUGCCACUUGGACAUGGACGCUGUCAAUGCACCGCUAGGAGAUGCCUGGGAAUCUGAAUUGAAAACCAACUCUGCCUGACCUCGAUGUAUGUGACGCGAGAAUUUAACAGUGAAAACAGGAUUUAAGUGCGGCAUCUACUGGCAAAUACAUUACUAACCCAAAUUGGCAAUAUGCUAGCAAACCAGAUCGGCAGCUGGCUAUAAUUUAUGUGGGACCACAAAAUGCUGUGUGCUACUCUACGUUUCUAUGUGUAUCACGUUGCAUAUCCUGGAUGGAGUCCUUGGGGACCUUGAAUUGCAAUGUGUGUGUGCCAAAGAAGCGAGCAACACGCUCCACCAGCAAUGAAUCGACCUCAGAUUCACGGGCUUCCACCUCUUCGGGCAGCUGGACAUCAUUGAGCGAUCGGCCUACUGGAAUUUCAUCGGUUUUCACCAAGGCAAUGCCCUCUGUCAGCCUCACAUCUCCGUUUUCCGUAUCAAAGUAAUGCAGGGCACGUUCCUGUUUAAAUAUUAUCAUGUGACAUCAGGAAUGAAAGAGAGAGAGAUGGGGGCAUUUACCUUCAUGCACAACACCAUCGAUCGGUCGCCGCAAUCCUUGACCAUUUUGAGGGCACUCGUCAAUAGACUGUCUGCCUCGGAGGCAGCUGCCGCCGUUGAGGCAAUCAGCGCGAAAAGACACACAAAUUUAAACAUGAUUGUAAUUUUUUGGAUAUUUGUUUUUGCACAAACACUAAUGACACAACGGAGAAAUGCGAGUGGGGUAUAUUAUCCUUUCAGAUGUUUGCACUAGCUGAGAGUGCUUUUGGCUUGAUUUGUUUCACUUGAUUGAGUGGCACUGCGCUCGAUUGGCUUGUUCGAUCUGUCGGUCAGAAGGCAACCGGUAAACUGUGAAUAGAAGACUCCCGCGGAUCGAGUUUUAUUCCCCGCCAGCAGAGCAACGACAGCAGCAGCAGUGGCAGCAGCAGCGACGACGCAAACAGAAACAGAAACGUUGGACAAAAUAAAAAUAAAAGAAAAAGACAUCGGCAUUGACGAUGCGACACGA
Long non-coding RNA from Drosophila willistoni, 2064 nucleotides. RefSeq lists it as uncharacterized. Lineage: Eukaryota; Metazoa; Arthropoda; Insecta; Diptera; Drosophilidae. The record is from RefSeq and is a predicted model, not a curated record. The transcript is spliced from 3 exons.